This is a long non-coding RNA of Bos taurus (domestic cattle), 1022 nucleotides long. NCBI's taxonomy places the organism in Eukaryota, Metazoa, Chordata, Mammalia, Artiodactyla, Bovidae. The record is from Ensembl.
CCAGCCUCUGGCACCAGCGCGGUGACUCACCCUCCGUCAGGCCCUGCCCAGCGCCGGCCAGAGGGGCGGCGGGGCAAUCACGCGGUCGGCCCCAGCGGGUUAAGCCCCCAUGGAGCUCCGGGGGCCAGGUCACCGCGGAGCCCAGCGGGGCGCUCGCCCGGGACGCCUCAGAGCUCCGUCCAGCGGGAAGUGGGUUCCGCACCCCCGCUCCCCCGGGCCCGACGCGGCCAGAUCCCACGGGAAGGAAGCCCUGUCCCCUUCGCCCCAGACCCUCUGCAGGAGCACCCAGCUUGCACGAGAGUGACUCCCUUCCAGGUGACUUCCAGCUCGCACCCAGAGGAGGGGCUGUUCCCAAUCCAGAGCCGCUCAACUCUGCUGCCGCGCCGGUCGCUGCAUUUCCACUGACCUGAUUGCAACAUCUCCCCGUAGGUGUGGGCCGGGGAGCUGGGAGCGAGCGGCCCGCCCUGCCCUUGGGAGACCCCGGCCCCUCCCCCUCGGCCCUCCGCCUCCUGAACUCCCGAGUCCGGGACCCCCGCUACCGCCCCAAGAUGAACCAAAGAAUUGUUGCUUUCAAAUUGCGGUGCUAGAGAACUCUUGGGAGACCGUUGGACUGCAAGGAGAGCAAACCAGUCAACCCAAAAGGAAAUCAACCCUGAAUAUUCACUGGCAUGCUGCAGUCCAUGGGGUCACAAAGAGUCGGACACGACUGAGCAGCUGAACUGAUUCAUCGAAAGGACUGAGGUUGAAGCUGAAGCUCCAAUACAUUGGCCACCUGAUGCAAAGAACCGAUUCACUGGAAAAGACCCUGUUGCUGGGAAAGAUUGAUGGCCAAAGGAGAAGGGAGUGGCAGAGAAUGAGAUGGUUGGAUAGCAUGACUCAGUGGAAAUGAAUUGGAGCAAACUCCAGGAGAUAGUGAAGGACAGAGGAGCCUGGCACACUGCAAUCCAUGGGGUCACAAAGAGUCAGAUACGACUUCGCCACUGAGCAACAGAUAAGACAUGUGGGGUCUUAGUUCCCCAACC